RNAcentral lists this long non-coding RNA (4572 nucleotides) under Nicotiana tabacum (common tobacco). RNAcentral's name for it is "long non-coding RNA (NTAB_LNC005889)". Lineage: Eukaryota; Viridiplantae; Streptophyta; Magnoliopsida; Solanales; Solanaceae. The record is from RNAcentral.
UGUGGAUUCGAUCCCGACCUUUCGGGUAAAAGCUGCAUCGACCGCUCUUGACACUCUAUAGUGGUAUAGGGUUGGCCCCGAUCAGGGGACAUUUGAUUGGAGAUUAUAUGGAGCUUGGUAAGGAUGGAAUUUCUGGGAGGUGGAGCUCGAUUUUGUGUAUAAUGUUGUGGCUGCGCGUAAGGUUGCACGUUCAUCACUGCAUACCAACAAACCAACCGCCUGAAUAAAACAUGGCUAAUUUGCACACACCACGACCUUGUUAGUUUUGAGACAUUUAAUAUAUAGGAAAUCACACGUUGAGAUGCAAUGUACGUAAUAGUUAAACGCUUUUAUCAUGUUUUUGAACGGUUGCAUAUUUUAUCCCGGCCUUAACUAACCCUUUUUCACUCUGCACCUCUUUUCUUUCAUUUCUGCCUCUCUUUACUCACUCUUGAUUUUCUCAUUUUGUUUUUGUCGCUCUUUUGUUUUUUGACGCUCUUUUUUUCUCUUUUUGUUUUUGUCACUCUUUUAUUUAUUUUUUUGUCGCUCUUUUUAUUACUUUUUUCACUCUUCUUUUUCUUUUUGUUUUACCACUUUUUAAUUUUUUGUUGCUUAUUUUUUCACUCUUUUCNNNNNNNNNNNNNNNNNNNNNNNNNUCAGGAAUGGAGUAAAUAAACUAACUCUCUAUUUUUUUUAUAACACUCAAACAAUGAAAGCGUUUAGAAAAAGAAUAUAUAUAUAUAUAUAUAUUUGAAAUUUUCGAAAGAAAGGCUUUGGAAGAAGAAAGAAAAUAUUUUUGGAAUUUUAGUUUUAAGUUUUAUUUUUUUUCAAAAGUUUUGAAAGAAAGACUUCUAAAAAUGAGAGAAAAUAUAUUUUAUUUUUGGAUUGUUUUUUUUUAAUUUUGGGAAAAAGACUUCUUAAAAAGGUAGUUUUUUUGGGGGAGAUUUUGAUUUGAUUUGUAGAUUUUGGAAAGAAGGACUUUUAAGACAAUAUUUCGGAUUUCUUAGUUUCUCUUUUUUUUCUUUUUUAAUUUACGAAAGUGCUUUUAAAGAAAAGCGAAAAUAUUUUUGGACUUUUAAUUCUCAAUUUUUAUGACAUUUACAAAAGAAAGACUUCUAAAGAAGAAAAAAAUAUUUUUGGAUUUUUGUUUCUAAUUUUUUUUUGAAUUUUUGGAAAAAAUACUUUGAAAUGAAGAAAAUCCGUAUUUUGUAUUUUGAUUUUUGAUUGAUUAUUUCUGUAUUUUUAUUUUUUUUACAUAUGAAAGACUUUGAAAAGAAGGAAAAUAUUUUUUGUGUUUAAAAAUCCUUUUUUUUUUAAUUUUCUAAGGAAAGACUUCUAAAGAGAAUUAAAGGAAUUUUUUUUUGGAUUUUAGAAAUUUGGGGCCGGAACCGAUGAGGUUUGCCUACGUAUCUCACACCCGGUGAAAAUCAGACCCGCAUAAUUAGGUCAAUUUUGGCAUAAUCGAGAAAACAUGUUAUUGACCCAUUUUUUAAAUGACUCUUUUUUUUAAUUUUCAUCAUUUUUCUUUUUUUUUUCUUUUUUGAAAAUUUUCGGCAGAGCUUCAGGAUAGUUUUCAAGUAUCGGGAUUUUCAGAAUUCGGCUAAUUUCUCUCUUACCUCACUCUUGGUUUUCUCUUAAUUCUAUUUCCAUAGCCGAUCAACAUGCAAGCCGAAGCAAAUAAAUUUACAAAUAGCACGUAAGAUGCAUCAGGAUGGUCUUUCAUUUCGGGUACACAUGUCCUAGACGAACCCAACCCCUGUGUUGAGUCCCCAAAGGCAAAUGCACGUGAUGCAAACAAACGUUCCUACUAGGGAUCUGGCAUGAGGCUAUGUUAUUCUAGGUUUAAACUGGGGGUAUGUUCUAGAAAUGGCUUACUCAAGCGGACAACUCGAGCCGAGGUUGGGCCAAUGUACCGAGAGCACGAAAGUCUGUCCGGCCUAGUUGCUGACUAGCCUCGUUCUAUUUGAUAUAACUUCUAACAUAAAAGUGGGCCACGCGUACGUGUGCACCAUAUUUUUAGAAGACUCAGAAGAGAGGUGUAAGAAGAUAGUUUAAUACAGUUCAAAUAAUAUCAAAGCGGUAAACAAGCAUCACUUAGCACAUUAGGCCCAUAAACACAGUAAUAUCAACAAUCAAGGAAGCCAAGUAUAAAUAAUAUUAACAAACUCGAAUUCUGAACCCUGAACCAGAGGUUCUAGGUUCGUGUCCCUAGCAUAGUCGUCAGAGCUGUCACACCUCCUUUUUCCCGAUAGGGGGGUAGGGAGUUUUUUCAAUUUAAGUGACAUUAAUCGAAAUGAGAUUAUUUAUUUAUUUAAGAGUCACCACUCAAAAUUAUCUAUUUACGGUAUUUCGAGUCACCAUUUAUUUUAAAAUCCCAAAUCGAGGAAAUUUUGACUCCGUUAAAGUCUGCGAAAAUUAGAAGACCGAGUAAGAAAUUCUAUUAACUCGGAAGAAGGUGUUAGGCACUCCCGAGUUCCGUGGUUUUAGCACGGCCGCUUUAAUCACACUUGGCAUAAUUAAAUUGUUCAAUUAUUUGUUUUAAGAACCUAUGUAUAUUUACCCUUUUUACUGCUUUUAAUUACUUGAUUAUUCGUAAUUUAUAGAAUUAUCUUGAAACGAGUCACGCGUACGUGUAAUCUUUUGGUUUGGCGCAUCAAAAAUCAUGUUACGCGUACGUGUACACAAUUCACAACACUUAAUAUUUAAGAAAACUUGGUCAAAGCGCGAACGCGUACCUUGAUUUAUUUUGAGAAUCGUAAUUAUGUCACACGAACGUGUACAUAAUCACGAUAAUAGAUUAAGUCAUGCCUAAAACAUUUUCUACGAAUAUUCAUUUUUAAGUUGUACUUGUAUCACGCGAACGUGUACACAAUUAAUAACAUUUUAUUAUUAUUAAGAUUGUUUCGCCCAACGUUGCGCUAACGCAUACGUUGGUCUUAAUUUUGGAGCCAGUAACUAUAUUACACAAACGUCGACAAUCCUAAAGAUUGCCUACCUGAGUGUUGACGGUCUAAGCAUGCUACUAGCGAUCUAAACAAAUAAAGUGAAAUAAUUAACAUGAUAAGUUCAAUUUUCCAUUUUUGAUGUCCAUCCCAUAUUCAAAACAAUGAAAAUGCUAAUUUUCUUUACCUAUGCAUGAUGAUAUAUCCUUCUGAUAGUUAUUAGAGUCACAAAAUGUCCAAGUCAAAUAAUAAACCAUAUAAAAAAUAGAAAAGCGUAAAAUAAAAAGAUUAGUAAUAGACUAAUAAUUCAACAAUCACAAGAAUCCAUAGUCCUUAAACUAACGAGAGCUGGAAACAUUAAGAACACCAUCCAAACAAAUAUAUGUAUAAUCUCAAACGCAUAUGCAUCAGAUGGAUUCAAUUCAUCAAAAACAAUUAUAAGAGCAAACAUAAUUGAAGAAGAGAUGAAUAAGAAAUGGACCUCAAAUAAUUUUUGCCAAAGAAACCCUGCUAGUUGCCUUCCUAAUUAUUAAGCUAUGAACAUAGAUUUUGAACCGAAAAGUUCGUCGGCGACCUCUGACCUCGAAACGGACGGCGUCGCUACCAAAUCCUCAAAUAAUUUUUGUCAAAGAAACUCUGCUAGUUGCCUUCCUAAUCACCUACGAACAGGGAUUUUGGACCGAAAAGUUUGUCGGCGACCUCUAACCUCGGAACGGACGGUGUCGCUACCAAAUCUAAGUAGCCAAGACCUUAUACUCACUGAAAAUUUCCUCGAUUAUUUUCCAAUCAGCCAAGAUUUUGAGAAUGAAGGAAUUCAUUUCUGUUUGUGGAAAGGCCGGAGAUGGAGUUACACAACUAAAGAGGUGAUGGGUUUGGGGCUCUGUUUCUGGGUCAGGAAGAUAGGGUGGUUGAUCCUUCUCCUUCAAGAUUACGGCUGAAGCUUCAAUCUUAGCUUAGGGUGGGCAGCUCAUUUUUUGUAUGAGAUUAAGGGAGCUUUUUUGGAUGAAUUUUAUGCUUGAGGAGAAGAAGAUGAUGGCUUCUGGUUUUUCCAAUUCACUGCCUUCCCUUCUUUUCUCUUCACUCUCUUUUUGUGCAUUUUUGUAAGUGUGUGCGUUUGAUAUUUUUGAGAAGGGGAUUGGAGGAGUUGUUGUCUGUUGAAGGAUCCAGGAAUGAGUGCCACUCCUCGGGUUUCCAAACAAGGGGAAGGGGGGGUUUGUCUUCCUCCCAUUAGUGAAGAUAGGAUGAGCUCUUUUCUCUUAACUUAACGAAAUUAGGUUUUUGUGUGGGUUUAAGGGUAUUGGGCUUGGGUAGGUGAAAGAAGAUUGUGCCCAGUUGACAAGUGGGCCACUUUAAACAAUUUUGCUCUUAGCCUAGUUUCAAUAAAGACUAACCUCUUUUCCUUUCUUUAAUUUUUGCAAUAUUAGCCAUUCUAACUCAAAUUUUAAUUUAAAUUCUAUUUUUUGUGUGGCUAGGCUAUUUAUUUACUAAAAUUAUAUUUUAGGAGUAAUUUCCAUGUAGGGCAAAGAUUAGGUGCUCACACACGUUGUAACGAUACGCACCUCGCCACGACCGAGGUCAUGUAUUUAGAACGCCUGAGAGGCUAAAUGGAUAGUACGGCAUUUCAAGUAGUCGACUCGUAAUAUAGUCAAAU